RNAcentral lists this ribosomal RNA (323 nucleotides) under Salmonella enterica subsp. enterica serovar Derby. RNAcentral's name for it is "partial 23S ribosomal RNA". It matches the Rfam family "Bacterial large subunit ribosomal RNA", at positions 1292 to 1616 of the family's 2925-position model. Lineage: Bacteria; Pseudomonadati; Pseudomonadota; Gammaproteobacteria; Enterobacterales; Enterobacteriaceae. RNAcentral also lists the same sequence under 4 other names. The record is from RNAcentral.
GAAUGCUGACAUAAGUAACGAUAAAGCGGGUGAAAAGCCCGCUCGCCGGAAGACCAAGGGUUCCUGUCCAACGUUAAUCGGGGCAGGGUGAGUCGACCCCUAAGGCGAGGCCGAAAGGCGUAGUCGAUGGGAAACGGGUUAAUAUUCCCGUACUUGGUGUUACUGCGAAGGGGGGACGGAGAAGGCUAUGUUGGCCGGGCGACGGUUGUCCCGGUUUAAGCGUGUAGGUGUGUGUUCCAGGUAAAUCCGGUUCACUUUAACACUGAGGCGUGAUGACGAGGCACUACGGUGCUGAAGCAACAAAUGCCCUGCUUCCAGGAAAA